ACAGGUGUAGCUCAGUUGGUAGAGCAUCGGUCUCCAAAACCGAGUGUCGGGAGUUCGAGUCUCUCCACCUGUGCCA
This 76-nucleotide transfer RNA is filed under the name Flavobacteriales bacterium. RNAcentral describes it as "tRNA-Trp". It matches the Rfam family "tRNA". From Rfam's summary of the family: Transfer RNA (tRNA) molecules are approximately 80 nucleotides in length. Their secondary structure includes four short double-helical elements and three loops (D, anti-codon, and T loops). Further hydrogen bonds mediate the characteristic L-shaped molecular structure. tRNAs have two regions of fundamental functional importance: the anti-codon, which is responsible for specific mRNA codon recognition, and the 3' end, to which the tRNAs corresponding amino acid is attached (by aminoacyl-tRNA synthetases). tRNAs cope with the degeneracy of the genetic code in two manners: having more than one tRNA (with a specific anti-codon) for a particular amino acid; and 'wobble' base-pairing, i.e. permitting non-standard base-pairing at the 3rd anti-codon position. Lineage: Bacteria; Pseudomonadati; Bacteroidota; Flavobacteriia; Flavobacteriales. The record is from RNAcentral.